UGGGGAAUCUUGCGCAAUGGGCGAAAGCCUGACGCAGCGACGCCGCGUGAGCGAUGAAGGCCUUCGGGUUGUAAAGCUCUGUGGGGAGGGAAGAAUAAGGUUUGGCUAAUAUCCAAGCCGAUGACGGUACCUCCUUAGCAAGCACCGGCUAACUCUGUGCCAGCAGCCGCGGUAAGACAGAGGGUGCAAACGUUGUUCGGAAUUACUGGGCGUAAAGCGCGUGUAGGCGGCCAUCUAAGUCGGGCGUGAAAUCCCACGGCUCAACCGUGGAAGUGCACUCGAAACUGGAUGGCUAGAGUCCUGGAGAGGAAGGUGGAAUGCUUGGUGUAGAGGUGAAAUUCGUAGAUAUCAAGCGGAACACCGGUGGCGAAGGCGGCCUUCUGGACAGUGACUGACGCUG
Molecule: ribosomal RNA, 400 nt
Filed under: uncultured bacterium
Lineage: Bacteria
Description: bacterial SSU rRNA
Rfam family: Bacterial small subunit ribosomal RNA
Source: RNAcentral